This is a long non-coding RNA of Acanthopagrus latus (yellowfin seabream), 563 nucleotides long. RefSeq lists it as uncharacterized. The transcript is spliced from 2 exons. NCBI's taxonomy places the organism in Eukaryota, Metazoa, Chordata, Actinopteri, Spariformes, Sparidae. The record is from RefSeq and is a predicted model, not a curated record.
CUUGAGUGCUCUGAGGGACCCUUCAAGAUGGAGGCGACUUGAAGCUCUAGAGAGGAUGAAGCCCGAAACCUCUACACACAGGUCUACCUUUCGCCGCACUUCUUGGUCUGGCGUUGAGACUCUGCGUAGAUCGUCAUAGAUGCGCUGCACAUCAGCAGAAAGGCCACUGACAUCUCCGAGGAUAUCAUUAAGCACACUCUCUGAUAACUGUGUUGACUUUGUUAAUGACUGCUUAGAGAAUUUAACAAGCGUUCUCCAUUUUCUGUAAAUGUAGUCAAACUUUUGUUGAAGUCCUUUAAUUUUCUCGUCUUGCAGUGCUUGACCCUUCUCUGUUAGUGUACGGAUUCGUUCACCACGUCUGGGCUGCUGCGCUUCCUCCUGCUGAGGCUCAGCAUCACCUGCUUCAUCUUCGGAAGGGCCUUGAAGAUUCUCACUUUCCCUAACACUAUCCUCUACCUGAGUAGUGGACUCACUUGGCUCUGCCAUAAUUAAGUGACUGAGUUAAACUAAGUGAAUGUCAAUAUCAAAAUGUAAAAUGUAAAUAAAGUUUGCAUUAACUUCAA